CUCCUCACUUUCAUUCUCUCUCGUCUUCUCUUUCUCUCUCUUUUCCCUUUCCCAGUACAGCAACAAAUCAAUAGCAGCUGAAACAAGAAAAAGAAACAAGAAGAAGAAGAAGAAGUGGAAAACUAGAUUGUGCACAAAUCCGCAGUCAGCCUCACCGGACUUCGAUAAAAUCCACCACACAUAGUCGACGAUGUCUCUUUUACCGGUCACUCCGCAACACGGGACCAAAUGACAGCCACCACUUUUAGAUCUGAUACGAAGGAUUUAUCUCUCUUUAUGUGAAAGAGCUUCAGAAAAUACUAGACAUUUAGAAGAAAAAACCAUGGAAAUGAAAAAGGAAGAACAUGUAAACGGGUUAGAGAUUACUUUCUAUUGGUGUUGGAUCUGCCAUAUUGCUUGGAGUAGUUGAAAGAAAAACUACACUGAUCUUGCAGCAACAAAGAGACUGCAUCAGAUUGAAUUAUGGCUCUAUUGCAUGAAAAAAUCACUGUGAAGCUUUAAUCUCUUGAAGGAUUGUAAAACUCAAAAGUGGUGGUGGAGAUUUGGUAUUCUCUCCACUAUCUCUGUUACUUAUUGAUAUAUAUUACGUUUAACAUAUUAUGUGCGUAUAUUUUUUUUCAAAAUACUCAUCUUACUAAUUAGAUGAAUAUAUUGUGGCGGUUUCUGAACUUUCUCCAAAGGCUAUUGUUGGAUUCCUGAUGAAAAUGUCCUUGUAGACUCAGACUAAAGCCAUUAGCAUUCAUGAACAUCACAACACCAGCCACCAAGUACAUUUAAGAUUUGUACCCGAUGGGAUUUAUCAUGUUGUUUUGCUUAUGUAUCUCAUUUUAAUUGACUAUUGUAAUACUAUACUUCUAUAAAGUUAAUGUCUACAUCA
This is a long non-coding RNA of Vicia villosa (hairy vetch), 877 nucleotides long. RefSeq lists it as uncharacterized. The record is from RefSeq and is a predicted model, not a curated record. Lineage: Eukaryota; Viridiplantae; Streptophyta; Magnoliopsida; Fabales; Fabaceae. The transcript is spliced from 3 exons.